Chenopodium quinoa (quinoa) is the source of this 687-nucleotide long non-coding RNA. RefSeq lists it as uncharacterized. The record is from RefSeq and is a predicted model, not a curated record. NCBI's taxonomy places the organism in Eukaryota, Viridiplantae, Streptophyta, Magnoliopsida, Caryophyllales, Amaranthaceae. The transcript has 2 exons.
GGAUCAUGUUAAGGUUGAAAAUCUCAACCCGAAAACGACCCACUUAACCCGAAAUAAAUUUCAGGUCAAAAUCAGGUCAGGUCAACCCGAAGUAUUUUAAGUGAAAAAAAAAACAUAAAAAGCCUUAAAACUCUAAAUAAGUAAAUAAGCCCAGCCCAAAUUCCUUAGAGGCUUCUUAAUGUAAAAUGAAAACCCUAAACCCCUCUCAUCCUACACUCAUUUCUUCAGCCGUUUUCACUACUUUUUCCCACUUCUCUCUCUUCUCUCUCCUCAAAAACCCUAAAUCACUUCACGGCUUCACCAUUGUUCAAUCAAAGUUCUUCAAGUCUUCACAAUUGUUGAUUUCGACUACAAUUCUUAUCUUCUCACUCUCAUACGCAAGUUGCGGCCACUCAAAUCCAUCUUUCUUUCAGAGAGGAGAAGUUUCAUUCCACUAUGGAGGGUGGGCAUAACAAAGAGAUUUGAAGAUUUUAUUUAAAUCACUAUAGUUUUUGAAAUUCAAUUUGUAAUUUGUUAAGUAGACUACUUGGUUUGUAAUCUAUUAAGUAGUUUUGUUAGACAAUUUUGUUUGGGUUUGAAUCGCUGUUUUGCUUCAGAAUUUAAAAUGCAAUUGAAUGAACUGCAAAAAAAAAAUACCUUUUGAAUGAAUAAAAUCAGAUUGGCUGGGUUGACCCAACCCAAAUAAAU